CCCGCCUCCACUCACUCGCACGAGCUCAGAUGAGAUCUACUCGUCAUCUUACUGAAGUAAACGCUGCACAAUGGUAUCGCUUUUUACAACGUCGGACACAUAACGAACAUCCAAACUCAGAAUAAGCAAGUGUGUGGGAGCGAUGUCAGAAGUAGAGCCCAGCUGGUGUCAUAUCCUUCAUGAACUAUAAAAGGAAUGAUUGCAGUGGGAUAUGGAAUGCUGAUUGGAAUCAUUUACAGUCCAGAAGAAGAAAGAGCAAGGUGCUGCGCAUGAUAAUGCAGUUGUCUGCUUUAACCUAUGUAAAUUAUUACUUAAAUUACUUGUUAAUUGUGUCAGCUAACUGAUUAUCACCGUGUUUCCACAUCACUGUUAAUUGUAUUGGAACUCUCACAUACGAAGAAAAACAUGCAUAAAACACUCAUGAUGUGUCUUUUAAAGCUUCAGGACACCAUAAUGAGACUAUUGUUCCAGACUAUGUACUUAAAGUACAGUAACAGUGUUUACAGAAUAGCUUCUGAUUACAUUUCCUUAACUCAAAAAUUAACAUCAUUUUUCAUAUUUAU
Molecule: long non-coding RNA, 563 nt
Organism: Megalobrama amblycephala (Wuchang bream)
Lineage: Eukaryota; Metazoa; Chordata; Actinopteri; Cypriniformes; Xenocyprididae
Exons: 3
Source: RefSeq, a predicted model, not a curated record